RNAcentral lists this ribosomal RNA (337 nucleotides) under uncultured bacterium. Its description in RNAcentral is "bacterial SSU rRNA". It matches the Rfam family "Bacterial small subunit ribosomal RNA", at positions 28 to 361 of the family's 1533-position model. The record is from RNAcentral.
GACGAACGCUGGCGGCGUGCUUAACACAUGCAAGUCGAACGAGACCCCGUCUUCGGGUGGGUGUUCUAGUGGCGAACGGGUGAGUAACACGUGGGGCAACCUGCCCCCGGCUCUGGGAUAACUCCAAGAAAUUGGGGCUAAUACCGGAUAUUUCCGCUGACCGCAUGGUCUGGUGGUGGAAAGGGUUUCCGGCUGGGGAUGGGCCCGCGGCCUAUCAGCUUGUUGGUGGGGGUAGUGGCCUACCAAGGCGACGACGGGGUAGCCGGCCUGAGAGGGUGACCGGCCACACUGGGACUGAGACACGGCCCAGACUCCUACGGGAGGCAGCAGUGGGGAA